UGGCAGUGACGGUUAACGGGGGAUUAGGGUUCGAUUCCGGAGAGGGAGCCUGAGAAACGGCUACCACAUCUAAGGAAGGCAGCAGGCGCGCAAAUUACCCAAUUCUAACAGCAUAAGAGAGGUAGUGACAAGAAAUAACAAUACAAGGUAAUUAAAUUGCUUUGUAAUUGGAAUGAUAGAAAUUUAAACACUUUUUAAAGUAUCAAUUGGAGGGCAAGUCUGGUGCCAGCAGCCGCGGUAAUUCCAGCUCCAAUAGCGUAUAUUAAAAUUGUUGCAGUUAAAAAGCUCGUAGUUGAAUUUCUGUUAAAAAUAACCGGUCUGCUUUUAUUAAAAGUGGUAUCUUGGUGUGUUUUUAGCAAUAAUGUCCUUUGAAAUGUUUUUUACUUUAUUGUAAUAAGUCAUUAUUUUGAGGAUUUUUACUUUGAGAAAAUUAGAGUGUUUCUAGCAGGCUUACGCUUUUGAAUACUGCAGCAUGGAAUAAUAAGAUAGGAUUUUAGUUCUACAUUAUUGGUUUUAAGAACUAAAUUAAUGAUUGAUAGGGAUAGUUGGGGGCAUU
This 556-nucleotide ribosomal RNA is filed under the name Hepatozoon sp. KCMS-2016a. RNAcentral's name for it is "bacterial SSU rRNA". It matches the Rfam family "Eukaryotic small subunit ribosomal RNA", at positions 347 to 892 of the family's 1831-position model. Lineage: Eukaryota; Apicomplexa; Hepatozoidae. The record is from RNAcentral.